UGGUCAUUAUAAAGGUUUUUAGAAUACACUGUCUGAUUUGCUGAGGAAUUGACAAUAAAAAAGCCUUCCCCCUAGGUUUUCUUUUUGCUACCUUGCUAGCAUUCAGCCUAUUGGGGAUAUUU
RNAcentral lists this small nucleolar RNA (122 nucleotides) under Dasypus novemcinctus (nine-banded armadillo). RNAcentral describes it as "Small nucleolar RNA SNORA32 (ENSDNOG00000037710.1)". It matches the Rfam family "Small nucleolar RNA SNORA32". Rfam says of the family: ACA32 is a member of the H/ACA class of snoRNA that guide the sites of modification of uridines to pseudouridines. Lineage: Eukaryota; Metazoa; Chordata; Mammalia; Cingulata; Dasypodidae. The record is from RNAcentral.